RNAcentral lists this ribosomal RNA (424 nucleotides) under uncultured Opitutia bacterium. RNAcentral describes it as "bacterial SSU rRNA". It matches the Rfam family "Bacterial small subunit ribosomal RNA", at positions 355 to 776 of the family's 1533-position model. The record is from RNAcentral. Lineage: Bacteria; Pseudomonadati; Verrucomicrobiota; Opitutia.
UUUCGAAUCGUUCACAAUGGGGGCAACCCUGAUGGCGCGACGCCGCGUGGGGGAUGAAGGUCUUCGGAUUGUAAACUCCUGUCAUUGGGGACUAAUGGCCAGGCUCAUACCCUGGUUUGAAUUAACCCAAAGAGGAAGCAGUGGCUAACUCUGUGCCAGCAGCCGCGGUAAUACAGAGACUGCAAGCGUUACUCGGAUUCACUGGGCGUAAAGGGAGCGCAGGCGGACUCGUGUGUCGGACGUGAAAUACCGGGGCUUAACCCCGGUGCUGCGUUCGAAACUACGAGUCUAGAGACUUGGAGGGGUAAGCGGAAUUCUUGGUGGAGCAGUGAAAUGCGUAGAUAUCAAGAGGAACACCAACGGCGAAGGCAGCUUACUGGACAAGAUCUGACGCUCAGGCUCGAAAGCGUGGGGAGCAAAAGGG